Molecule: ribosomal RNA, 584 nt
Filed under: Antocha sp. Niugawa40
Lineage: Eukaryota; Metazoa; Arthropoda; Insecta; Diptera; Limoniidae
Description: bacterial SSU rRNA
Rfam family: Eukaryotic small subunit ribosomal RNA
Source: RNAcentral
UAAAACGUUCGUAGUUGAAUUUGUGUCAAGCACGGGUUGUACACCUUUACUGGGUAAGUACUUUACCUUGAUGCUUUGACGUAUUACUGUAGUGGAUAUAAUUAUUAUUAAUAAUAAAGUAUAGUUUCGGCUAGAAAAAUUAAUUUUAAUUUAUCUGCGUCUUAAAUCUAUUAUAGUGCUCUUAAUCGAGUGCUAUUAUAGAACAGUACAAUUACUUUGAACAAAUUAGAGUGCUUAAAGCAGGCCAAUUGUGCCUAAAUAUUCUGUGCAUGGAAUAAUGGAAUAGGACGUCUGUUCUAUUUUCAAUUGGUUUUUAGAUCAAGACGUAAUGAUUAAUAGAAGCAGUUGGGGGCAUUAGUAUUACGGCGCGAGAGGUGAAAUUCGUGGACCGUCGUAAGACUAACAUAAGCGAAAGCAUUUGCCAAAGAUGUUUUCAUUAAUCAAGAACGAAAGUUAGAGGUUCGAAGGCGAUCAGAUACCGCCCUAGUUCUAACCAUAAACGAUGCCAGCUAGCAAUUGAAUGUAGCUACUCCUAUGGCUCUUUCAGGCGCUUUUCGGGAAACCAAAGCUUUUGGGCUCCGGGG